RNAcentral lists this long non-coding RNA (249 nucleotides) under Sorghum bicolor (sorghum). RNAcentral's name for it is "long non-coding RNA (SBIC_LNC012659)". Lineage: Eukaryota; Viridiplantae; Streptophyta; Magnoliopsida; Poales; Poaceae. The record is from RNAcentral.
CGUGAUCUUUAUGUCUGUGUGAUCGUAGUGCAACGUAGAUUCAUUUUAUAAACUUUUCAUCUUUAUUUUCUAUUAUUGGUGUAUUGUUCUAAUUAUAGGUUUGUUUGCUUUGUAUGAUUGCCUCUGGAUGAUUGUUGUUGAUGUGAUGACUGAGUUUGGACGGUGAGCUUUUACGUGGUGACCAAGAAGCAGUUUGAGGAAGGUUUGGAACUAAAAGAAGGAUCUGAGUUUUAAGGCAAGUAUAGCAUG